UACGGGGUGCAGCAGGCGCGAAACCUUUACACUGCACGACAGUGCGAUAGGGGGAUCCCAAGUGCACAGGCAUAGCGCCUGUGCUUUUCGGUACCCUAAGGCGGUACCAGAAUAAGGGCUGGGCAAGACCGGUGCCAGCCGCCGCGGUAAUACCGGCAGCCCGAGUGAUGGCCGAUCUUAUUGGGCCUAAAGCGUCCGUAGCUGGCCACGCAAGUCCAUCGGGAAAUCCACCUGCCCAACAGGUGGGCGCCCGGUAGAAACUGCGUGGCUUGGGACCGGAAGGCGCGACGGGUACGUCCGGGGUAGGAGUGAAAUCCCGUAAUCCUGGACGGACCGCCGAUGGCGAAAGCACGUCGCGAGAACGGAUCCGACAGUGAGGGACGAAAGCCAGGGUCUCGAACCGGAUUAGAUACCCGGGUAGUCCUGGCCGUAAACAAUGUCUGCUAGGUGUGGCUCCCACUACGAGUGGGUGCUGUGCCGCAGGGAAGCCGCUAAGCAGACCGCCUGGGAAGUA
RNAcentral lists this ribosomal RNA (514 nucleotides) under Halorubrum sp. AJ117. RNAcentral describes it as "bacterial SSU rRNA". It matches the Rfam family "Archaeal small subunit ribosomal RNA", at positions 324 to 837 of the family's 1478-position model. Lineage: Archaea; Methanobacteriati; Methanobacteriota; Halobacteria; Halobacteriales; Haloferacaceae. The record is from RNAcentral.